This is a long non-coding RNA of Anolis carolinensis (green anole), 1206 nucleotides long. RefSeq lists it as uncharacterized. NCBI's taxonomy places the organism in Eukaryota, Metazoa, Chordata, Lepidosauria, Squamata, Anolidae. The record is from RefSeq and is a predicted model, not a curated record. The transcript is spliced from 2 exons.
CCUGACAGAUACUAAUCCCAACAAUCAUACAUCCAGAACACAUGUUAAACAUCCCCACAUAACUGACAGCAAAUGGAAUAAUAUAUUUAUACAAAUACCUAACCAAACAAAAAAGGGGGGGGGGGGGGAUGAAGCAUGGAGAGAACAGCUGGGUCCUCCAAGUAAGCCCCUUAAUAACUAUGUUGUUUUUUUGCAGAAAUACACAUACAUAGGAUUGCUUUCUAUUCUGGUAGAUCUCAUUUUCCAUGUAAUACCUAGCAUGUCAUUUAUAGUUGUCCUUCAAAACACUCAAAAUGUCAUUCCUUGAGAAACUGGAGCUGGAAAUGUCUUGAUAAAAUAUUUUCUUUAUAAAUAUAUUAACUUCCCAUAUCAAUGAAUAGCUCUGAUCUUGUGGUGACAAAUUGUUCUCCUUGAUUGAGAUUGUUCGGUUGAGAUCCCUCCGGAGAGUUCAUCAGUUUGUAACUCUCACCCAGGUGUUUCUGAGACUUUUCAGGAAGCAUAAGACUCCUAUGGGGAGAGACAAUGAUUUUUUCUAUUCCCUGAAGAUUUGCAUAGAUUUCCAUUUUUGACUCUUCAUAAAUCAUCGCUGUGAUUCUCUCCAUGGUAAAGAUAGAAACCAUUUUAACACUUUCUGGGGAAAAGGAGAAAUUGUUGAAUUGACAGCAUUAACAUCAUGUUACAAAUACAUUUGAUUUGGCUUGUCUUGAAUAUCUUUAAAGAAUCAAGUGGGGAAAAUGUGAUCACUUAGACCCCGGCCUCUUUACAGAAAAAUCCUGGGGACAGAGUCGAAAUUCAGUGCAAGACUUCCUCUUCAGUAACCAGUUCAUACACUAACUUCAUAAACUUCUAUCAGAUUCUACCAGGACAAAAACCCAAGCUACUGAUUUAUUAUGCUACCAGGCGUUUUGAAGGGACCCCAGAUCGCUUCAGUGGAAGAGGAAGUGGCACUGACUUCACCUUCACUAUCGAUGGUGUGCGUCCCGAGGACGAAGGGGAGUAUUACUGUGGCCAAGUAAAUAACAGUCCUCUACACAGUGAUACACUUCAGUACAAAAACCUAGUGGACGAUCUAGACUGCAGCAGUAGUUUUCAGUUGGGAUGUGCAAGAUUUCUUUGAAUGUACAUAGAGGCUAAAAUAGGAAUUGCUACUAGAAAUUACACCUUUGAACAAAUCCUAAGAAAUAAUAAUAAAUAACAAAAAUGAGA